CUCCAGGGCAUUGAGACUGAUAUAGAUGGUUCCAGAAAGUGUCUUCCUGACGAGACUGCCUGUCCUUGCUGCUGAAAAGCAUCUCUACAUGAGGUUACCACCAACACGUUCCAGAUGGUGCUAUCUGGCUGAUGUAACUUGGCUGAUGUAACACUUGAAGCUCAGAAUUCAGGCAUUUAGUCUCAUCACAGCUCAAGACUUCCCGGUCCCUGCAGGACUAAAGGACCUGUCAGGAUAGAAAGGAAGAUAAAUGGUGCAAAUGCUUGAAGAAAGCCUGCAGCCCCCAGCCAGGAAGUGGAAAAUGGGAAGAUCAGCUUUCAAGUCCAACAACAAAGCAACUAUACAGUAGCUGAAGGACAGAAAGGUGAACAAGUCAAACAUCAAA
This is a long non-coding RNA of Trichomycterus rosablanca, 385 nucleotides long. RefSeq lists it as uncharacterized. The transcript has 3 exons. The record is from RefSeq and is a predicted model, not a curated record. Lineage: Eukaryota; Metazoa; Chordata; Actinopteri; Siluriformes; Trichomycteridae.